UACGUAGGGUGCGAGCGUUGUCCGGAAUUAUUGGGCGUAAAGAGCUUGUAGGUGGUUUGUCGCGUCUGCUGUGAAAUCCCGAGGCUCAACCUCGGGUCUGCAGUCGAUACGGGCAAACUAGAGUAUUGCAGGGGAGACUGGAAUUCCUGGUGUAGCGGUGAAAUGCGCAGAUAUCAGGAGGAACACCGGUGGCGAAGGCGGGUCUCUGGGCAAUAACUGACGCUGAGGAGCGAAAGCGUGGGGAGCGAACAGG
This 253-nucleotide ribosomal RNA is filed under the name uncultured bacterium. Its description in RNAcentral is "partial 16S ribosomal RNA". It matches the Rfam family "Bacterial small subunit ribosomal RNA", at positions 524 to 776 of the family's 1533-position model. The record is from RNAcentral.